GGGAGGCUCAGCGGUGGAGCUGUUGCCUUGGGCCCAGGCCAUGACCCCGGGGUCCUGGGAUUGAGUCCUGCGUUGAGCUCCCUGUGGGGAGCCUGCUUCUCCCCCUGCCUAUGUCUCUGUCUCUCUCUGUGUCUCUCAUGAAUAAAUAAAUACAAUCUUAAAAAAAAAAGCAGCAGAUCCAACAAAUGUUUGUUGUGGAUAAUUCAUUCAUUGCAGAGAUAUUUCUGGAGCCCUCGCCGCGGGCUGGACCCUGCCCUGGGCCCCGGUUGGAGGGGACGGUGACGCUGAGUCACGAGCCCGGUCGUAGCACAGGGGUCAUGUAACCUCUAUUCUUGGGAUACUCAAGACUACUGCUUCCAGGUACCAGCCCUGGGAAUGGUUAAACAGGACUCUCAGUGGACUCCAGCCCAGCGAUGUCUAAGCAAUCUUCAAACUGAAAGCAUCUAAAGACUCCUUUUAUCGUCACUUUCAGAAAACAGUCCUUUUGUAGGAGAGUUUCUGGUCUUAGCUGGUGGGGAUGUGGGGCGGGUGCGCAUCUAGGUCAUGGUUCAGAGGAAGAGCGCCACCUACUGAUGACCUGCUCCACCUUCAACACCACCUGCCUGGCCUUAGACCUUCUUCCCCUUGAUGUUCAAAGGGUGCGGAGGGGCCUUCUGAGCAGAACAGUGGAAUUUUGGUCUUGACUUCCAACUCUAGUAUUUGCAGUAAGAAUGAGACCAACAAAAUCUUCGCACACUGCAUAUAAAGCAGGUGGGAAAAGAUUCUUUCCAAAAUACAGAUUGUGUUUUUCUGGCAAGCCUCUCCACUGAAUGUUACUUUAUUUAGGAGAAUAAUCCUAUAGCAUAUUUAAUGCCAUUCUAGCAAAGCAUUAGCAAGAUUAUGUUCAGUAAUGAGGGGGUACCUUCGCUUCCAUUUUCAUGUGUUCCUGAGAAAUUCCAAUGCACAGCAUAAGGCAAGAAAGAUCAAUGUCAAAUAGUUCUUGAUUUGAUUAGGAAGCUGGUAGCUACAAGUAACAGAGCCAUGGCAACUUGACGAAGUGAAUAGUUCAUAUGGUAUGAUUCCAUCUGUGGAAUAGAUGUUCUAGAAGCUCC
Molecule: long non-coding RNA, 1091 nt
Filed under: Canis lupus familiaris (dog)
Lineage: Eukaryota; Metazoa; Chordata; Mammalia; Carnivora; Canidae
Description: lncRNA (ENSCAFG00040001806.1)
Source: RNAcentral